AAAUAUGAUAUAUUCUUAGUUUAUAUUUUAAAAUCAAAUCGAUUUGUUUAGUUGCUUUCUUUCAUUUAAAUAAAUAGGAGAAAUUUUUUGGUAUAUUUAUUUUAAUUAUUUUUACCGAUUGAUAUUUAAUAUAUAAACUUAAAAUAUCAUCGAUGUACAAUGUAAUCAUAAUAAUUGAGAAGUUUUUAAAUUUUCGCGGUUUUUCAAGUUGAGUUCCGAAUAUUUUCUUUCGGAUGCGCACGCAAGCACGCGCACCUCUUUUCAACAUCCGUUUAGAACAUUUUGAAAAUCAUCCUCGAGAAAUUAUCGCACCAGACUGAUGAACAAAUAGUGAACAACUGCGUCUAAGGAAUAUAAAGACGAGAGAAGACUUUUCUGUAUAAACCUCUUGAUAUUAGCAUGCUGUUUUAUUCUGCCACAAAGAGACACCAGAAUCCAAAAUACCUGAGCAGUGUGCAAGACAUGUAAAGUGUGCCCCACAGAGAGCAGAAGGAGUUGCCAGGCCAAAAGAAUAAAUCUUAAAAACAAAAUAAAUUUUUCAUUUUAAAAA
Molecule: long non-coding RNA, 550 nt
Organism: Mytilus californianus (California mussel)
Lineage: Eukaryota; Metazoa; Mollusca; Bivalvia; Mytilida; Mytilidae
Exons: 2
Source: RefSeq, a predicted model, not a curated record